RNAcentral lists this ribosomal RNA (484 nucleotides) under Bacillus sp. iCTE50. RNAcentral's name for it is "bacterial SSU rRNA". It matches the Rfam family "Bacterial small subunit ribosomal RNA", at positions 8 to 485 of the family's 1533-position model. Lineage: Bacteria; Bacillati; Bacillota; Bacilli; Caryophanales; Bacillaceae. RNAcentral also lists the same sequence under 2 other names. The record is from RNAcentral.
AGAGUUUGAUCCUGGCUCAGGACGAACGCUGGCGGCGUGCCUAAUACAUGCAAGUCGAGCGGACAGAUGGGAGCUUGCUCCCUGAUGUUAGCGGCGGACGGGUGAGUAACACGUGGGUAACCUGCCUGUAAGACUGGGAUAACUCCGGGAAACCGGGGCUAAUACCGGAUGGUUGUUUGAACCGCAUGGUUCAAACAUAAAAGGUGGCUUCGGCUACCACUUACAGAUGGACCCGCGGCGCAUUAGCUAGUUGGUGAGGUAACGGCUCACCAAGGCAACGAUGCGUAGCCGACCUGAGAGGGUGAUCGGCCACACUGGGACUGAGACACGGCCCAGACUCCUACGGGAGGCAGCAGUAGGGAAUCUUCCGCAAUGGACGAAAGUCUGACGGAGCAACGCCGCGUGAGUGAUGAAGGUUUUCGGAUCGUAAAGCUCUGUUGUUAGGGAAGAACAAGUACCGUUCGAAUAGGGCGGUACCUGGACG